UACGAAGGGGGCUAGCGUUGUUCGGAUUUACUGGGCGUAAAGCGCACGUAGGCGGUUUGUUAAGUCAGAGGUGAAAUCCCGGAGCUCAACUCCGGAACUGCCUUUGAUACUGGCAAGCUAGAGUCCGGAAGAGGUAAGUGGAACUCCUAGUGUAGAGGUGGAAUUCGUAGAUAUUAGGAAGAACACCAGUGGCGAAGGCGGCUUACUGGUCCGGAACUGACGCUGAGGUGCGAAAGCGUGGGGAGCAAACGGG
This 253-nucleotide ribosomal RNA is filed under the name uncultured bacterium. Its description in RNAcentral is "partial 16S ribosomal RNA". It matches the Rfam family "Bacterial small subunit ribosomal RNA", at positions 524 to 776 of the family's 1533-position model. The record is from RNAcentral.